Molecule: transfer RNA, 88 nt
Filed under: Vulcanimicrobiota bacterium
Lineage: Bacteria; Bacillati; Vulcanimicrobiota
Description: tRNA-Ser
Rfam family: tRNA
About the family: Transfer RNA (tRNA) molecules are approximately 80 nucleotides in length. Their secondary structure includes four short double-helical elements and three loops (D, anti-codon, and T loops).
Source: RNAcentral
GGAGAGGUGCUGGAGUGGCUGAUCAGGCACGCCUGGAAAGCGUGUAGGCGCUAAAACCGCCUCGAGGGUUCGAAUCCCUCUCUCUCCG